Molecule: non-coding RNA, 328 nt
Organism: Pelobates cultripes (western spadefoot toad)
Lineage: Eukaryota; Metazoa; Chordata; Amphibia; Anura; Pelobatidae
Source: the annotation of a GenBank genome assembly
CGGUUAUAGCUGGGGUUUCUGGUUGGGGGUCUGGCUCUGGCUCCCCUGGUUAUAGCUGGGGUCUCUGGUUGGGGGUCUGGCUCUGGCUCCCCUGGUUAUAGCUGGGGUCUCUGGUUGGGGGUCUGGCUCUGGCUCCCCGGAGCCCCUGGUUAUAGCUGGGGUCUCUGGCAGGGGCUCUGGCUGUGGCCCCCGGUUAUAGCUGGGGUCUCUGGUUGGGGGUCUGGCUCUGGCUCCCCUGGUUAUAGCUGGGGUCUCUGGUUGGGGGUCUGGCUCUGGCUCCCCGGGUUAUAGCUGGGGUCUCUGGUUGGGGGUCUGGCUCUGGCUCCCC